GCCCUCUUAGUUCAAUGGAUAGAACGGAGGUUUCCUAAACCUCUGAUUCAGGUUCGACUCCUGAGGAGGGCA
Molecule: transfer RNA, 72 nt
Filed under: Minisyncoccota bacterium
Lineage: Bacteria; Bacillati; Minisyncoccota
Description: tRNA-Arg
Rfam family: tRNA
About the family: Transfer RNA (tRNA) molecules are approximately 80 nucleotides in length. Their secondary structure includes four short double-helical elements and three loops (D, anti-codon, and T loops). Further hydrogen bonds mediate the characteristic L-shaped molecular structure. tRNAs have two regions of fundamental functional importance: the anti-codon, which is responsible for specific mRNA codon recognition, and the 3' end, to which the tRNAs corresponding amino acid is attached (by aminoacyl-tRNA synthetases). tRNAs cope with the degeneracy of the genetic code in two manners: having more than one tRNA (with a specific anti-codon) for a particular amino acid; and 'wobble' base-pairing, i.e. permitting non-standard base-pairing at the 3rd anti-codon position.
Source: RNAcentral